CUUUUGGAGCGGCCGAUGUCUGAUUAGCUAGUUGGUGAGGUAAAGGCUUACCAAGGCUUCGAUCAGUAGCUGGUCUGAGAGGACGACCAGCCACACUGGGACUGAGACACGGCCCAGACUCCUACGGGAGGCAGCAGUGGGGAAUUUUGGACAAUGGGGGAAACCCUGAUCCAGCCAUGCCGCGUGAGUGAAGAAGGCCUUCGGGUUGUAAAGCUCUUUCAGCCGGAACGAAACGGUCACGGCUAAUACCCGUGACUACUGACGGUACCGGAAGAAGAAGCACCGGCUAACUACGUGCCAGCAGCCGCGGUAAUACGUAGGGUGCGAGCGUUAAUCGGAAUUACUGGGCGUAAAGCGUGCGCAGGCGGUUUUGUAAGUCAGAUGUGAAAUCCCCGGGCUCAACCUGGGAACUGCGUUUGAAACUACAAAGCUAGA
RNAcentral lists this ribosomal RNA (435 nucleotides) under uncultured Nitrosospira sp. RNAcentral's name for it is "bacterial SSU rRNA". It matches the Rfam family "Bacterial small subunit ribosomal RNA", at positions 218 to 645 of the family's 1533-position model. Lineage: Bacteria; Pseudomonadati; Pseudomonadota; Betaproteobacteria; Nitrosomonadales; Nitrosomonadaceae. The record is from RNAcentral.